UGGGAAGCCUUUAAAUGCUAUGCUCUCUACCUCCAGGGUUUUUUUGUUUGUUUGUUUGUUUUUUGUGCAUCUGAGCCUUGGCUAAAGAAAUCAUUGGAAUUCCAUAACCUCCAUAUUUUACUUCUGUCCCACUCACCCAGUUUGGACCCAGUUUGCAUUCUCUGCAGUAGCCUUCCUGUACUAACUGUAGGGAAGGGAGGAGAGAAAGAUCUCAGUUUGAUUAAAGUAGACCACCUCUCUGGGAUUCUGCUGGGUAGAAUGCUCUCUUUGGCCUGUGUCUAUUGGAUUGAGAUGGAAGCUUCCUCCCCACAGCUACCAAAAGCUAGGGCUAGGGUGGUACAAACGGGGAGGGGGAGGCAAGAAUCCUGGAGUGAUUUUUUGAGAGAAGCCUGGGACAGUUUCCUACCCUCUUGGGGUAGAAUAACAGACAUUAUCUAGUUUCAUCCUCAUACUUCUAGGCAGGACUAUAGUUUACAGAUUAGAAGGCAUAUUAAAUUUUGACCUACCAAUUCUGGGGGGAUGCUUUGGCUGGGGUACAACUUUGCUGUGAAAAAAAAUUCAAGUUCAGAAAACCCCUCCCUCAAAAAAUCAUAGCAACCCACCCCCAAACUUGUCUCUUCCUGUAUUUACUUUUUUAGUGGGGUUUCAGAUCCUUAUCUACCCUUUUUUUUUUACCUUGGUCACCUCUCCUGCAGUAGAGGUAAACAGGAAACAACUAAAAGGUAGAGAGAAGUUUCUUCAAAAAGGUGCUGUAAAUCGGGAGAGCAUGUCCUUUGUUGUAGGUUUGUUUUCUAUUUCUUUUUUUUUGGUCUUUCAAUGCAAAUGAAGCUUUUGUUGAUAAAUGUAGAAUUGACAGUAUUAAAACUUGAGACUGGUGCUCCUGCUCUUUUCUAUGGAACCAAAUUGUUCCGUUCUCAUGCAGUUCUUCCUUUAGCUUAGAAGAGUUUCAAAGACUUUACCCAAGAUAGCAGCAGUAGCCUGCCCCCUUUUGGGUGUGAAGAGAUCUAACAAAGAUUCUUUAAAUCUUAAAGGUUUGGGCACUAUCUGUGCUGAGCUCCAGAACUUUAGGUCUCCCAAUUGUCUCAAUAUGUUUUAUUUCAGUUGCACACAUACACACACACAUCCCAUACACCCACACCUACAAAUACCUAAAUCUUUGUGUUAGCCAGGGAGGUAUAACUUUGUAAAUUUGCAAGGUUUUCUAGUAUUGUCUGUUGGUACUUUUGCUUCUGGACACCAUGGAUCAGAGAAGGAAAUGAACUGAUUGUUAGGAUAAUUGAAUUAUAUUCCUAGAUCUUCCAGGGAAAGAAGAUGAAUUCUUUAUACCCUAGGCUGGUGAGUUUGACUCAGAUCCCUGGGGAACUUUUGGAAUGCAUUAUCAUAGGGACAACUGGUAAACUCUUAGGGAAAUAGUGAUCAUAGAUUUUUAGAGCUCACUAACAAGGCAGGGGAAUUUCUAGGUCCUGGGGAACCAGAGUUUCAGAUAUCAAUUCUGCUACAUACUGCAUAUGUGAUUCUAAGUACUUCAAAUCUAUGGGAAUCCUUUCUUCAUUUGUAAAAUUAGGGACUGGGCUAUGUAAUCUCUACGGUGCCUUCAAGUUCUGGAUCCUGUGAAUUUUUUUAAUGUAAAAGUAUAGUGAAAUUCAUACUGAAACUGGGACUCAGGAGAUCUGGACUUCAUUUCAAUGUCUGUUGCUAAUUUGUUUUCAAAAUUAUUGAUUUCCCAUGUAAUUCUAUGUAUUUUAUUUUAUGUAUUUAAAAACAUGAUUCUGAGAAAAGGUUCAUGCAUAGGCUUCACCAAAUUGUUCAAGGGGUUCAAGACAAAGGUUAAGAACUUCUAGGUGGGAUGAUUUAAGGAGUUCUUCCUAACUUUAACAAUCGGUUAAAUUUAUAACACAGGCAAUGAGGAAUCCAAAAAAGGCACCAGCUCAUCUCUCCUGCUUUUCUUGUAUUUAAAAUGGACAAACACAUGCUGCAGAAUUAUGCAGAGCUGUUUGAAAGAUUAAAUUCAAAGUGUUAGGAUUAGUAAAUGGAGGUCUAAAGUGGAGUGCCCCUCUGCUCUGUCCUGGGCUCUGUGUUUUUCAAUUUUUUAUUACUUUUUAAUAAAUUUAUCAAGGAUAUAUACA
Molecule: long non-coding RNA, 2126 nt
Filed under: Monodelphis domestica (gray short-tailed opossum)
Lineage: Eukaryota; Metazoa; Chordata; Mammalia; Didelphimorphia; Didelphidae
Description: lncRNA (ENSMODG00000046612.1)
Source: RNAcentral